CGAUACGAGUUUGAUCAUGGCUCAGAACGAACGCUGGCGGCAGGCCUAACACAUGCAAGUCGAGCGAACCCUUCGGGGUUAGCGGCGGACGGGUUAGUAACGCGUGGGAAUAUACCCUUUGGUACGGAAUAGCCUCGGGAAACUGAGAGUAAUACCGUAUGUGCCCUUCGGGGGAAAGAUUUAUCGCCAAAGGAUUAGCCCGCGUUGGAUUAGAUAGUUGGUGGGGUAAUGGCCUACCAAGUCUACGAUCCAUAGCUGGUUUGAGAGGAUGAUCAGCAACACUGGGACUGAGACACGGCCCAGACUCCUACGGGAGGCAGCAGUGGGGGAAUCUUAGACAAUGGGCGCAAGCCUGAUCUAGCCAUGCCGCGUGGACGAUGAAGGCCUUAGGGGUUNUAAAGCCUUUCAGAUGGGAAGAUAAUGACGGUACCAUCAGAAGAAGCCCCGGCUAACUCCGUG
RNAcentral lists this ribosomal RNA (459 nucleotides) under uncultured bacterium. RNAcentral's name for it is "bacterial SSU rRNA". It matches the Rfam family "Bacterial small subunit ribosomal RNA", at positions 1 to 507 of the family's 1533-position model. The record is from RNAcentral.